UUUUUUUUAUUAUUACACGUUUAUAUCCGUAGAGCUAUCAUAAACGUCUGGCGAUUAUAUUCGCACGUAUUAUACAACCAAUUAAUCUUUUAUAUUUUUUUUGAAUCUAAAAUAAAAAAUCUCAAUGUUUUACAAUGUCCAAUAUAGCGAUUCGAUAAAUUUUAAAACGAAAUAUUGGCGUUACAAAUAUCUACUAUAAUAAUGAAUCAUCAAAUUUUUUACAUUUCGUGAGAUCGAAUCCAUAGUAUUCGACUACGCAAAAUGGAGACAUUUCGUUAAGGAACAAAUAACGCGUUAUAGAUGCCGAUACACCUAUACGUUACGGUUAAUGUUGUAAACUGGUUAAGGUCAUUACUCAAACGUAUUUUGUGAUGUUAUUUUUAAUCCGGGAAUGCGCUGAGUUAUUAUCAAACGUGAAGGUAAGAACAUGGUUUUUUUUGUGAUAUUUUAAUUUUUAAGCCACAUUUGAUGAUUUUUUUUUAAUUGUAAUAUUUCGCAUAUUCUUAAUUCGCUCGAAAAUUAAAAUAUCGAAGAAAAACAACCGAAGCAUAAUCACAGACAAUGUUCUUAACUUUAAGUUUCAUAACAGGCCAAUUCACUCUGAAGUUAAAACUAAUAGCGCAUGGUCGAAUCUACUAAACGACAAUUUGACACUGUCCUAUUAUUUUCGCUAUUAGCCGUAACACCAGUGACGUGUCCAGGAAUUUUCAAUGUGAGGGGAUGUAGUGAAUAAGAAUCGUAAAAUCGUCUUCUUUAUCCUAUUCGACUAUGGGAAUUAACAAUUAAUUUAAAAGCUGAAUCCUAAAAAAUGGACAAUUCCCAAUUAAUAUAUAAAGUUGUUCCUCGUAAGUUGGCUGAAAUAUAAUAUCCAUUUUUUUAUUAAAUUUCUCGUAUUUUUAAACCGAUGGGGGAUAUAACCUCUAACCUGCAUACGCUACUGUGUAAUACACUCGUAUAUGAUAAGUAUCUACACUUAACACUUUAAAUAUACCUAAACCCAAAUCAUCCGUCAAAAUUUUCGCCUAACGUCCACCACCAGCAAAGACCACACCGUCUGGUAUGGGGCACAACCGACCGAUCCGACCGUUCAUCCACGUAAAUUUAAAUUAAUUUAAAACAAUUCUUUUAUUAACAAUUCGUUUUACGUACAAAGCUGAACAUAAAUACAAAAAUGCAUUAUUAUUUUAAGACCUGACCAAUUAUUUUUUCACCACAAUUUAUAACGACGAUCAGAGGCACCUGGUUUCAAAAAUGUCAUGGUUGGCUCAAUAUUUUAUAAAUACAUGUACAAUUUUACCUGAAUCUUGUUGUAUAAUCGGUGGUUCCUAAUUGCGGACAAAGUAAUAAAAACUAUGGCAGUUGCGGACGAAACCUUAAAGGUGACAUACGAAAUUGCGGACACACUACCUGUGGAAUUUCCAAUCAUUAUUUUUGAUAUAACGAUUAUGUUAAUUAUCGAUGAUUAGUAUAUAUAUAUAAUAUGAUCGAUUCAAUUGGACUGAUUAUCUAUUAGCGUUAAGAUUGUGAGUUAAGCUUUCGGGACGACUGCCAAAAACUAUUAUUAAUCAGUUUAACGACGAUCUUACUCGUGUCUGGUACUACACUGUUUAAAUAUCUCUCGGUUUUUAUUAAAUAUUAGUGAAAAACUUAAAGAUUUACGCGUGAUUGACAGUUUUAAGUUCCGUUUCCACCGCAUAUUAAGCAAAUAUUUUCAACCCAGCCUACCAAUUUUUAUGUCCGCAACGCGCUUUGUUAGAUUUACAUAACUUGAGUCCACAGUUAAUAUUUUGAUAACAAUAUCCGUUGUUUCGUAUGUUAUGACAUUUUAAUACUACCAGCAUCAUAAGACAAAAAAUAAAAAAUGCCAGACAUCAGACACCAGUUAACCUGGUUGAUUAUCAAAAUCUACACUUUUUCUCAGCUAUAAAUAUAUAUGUAAAAAAAAAAAAAAAAAAAAACAUUUAUGUUCCUCAUUUAAUUUUUUUUAAAACCGUGUGGUGGUGGAGUUGGCUACGGCCUCAGAAUCCCUCUGUUCACGGCGCUCCUGACGACGAUAAGUUACCCGUUACUUUUUGGUUAUUCUAUCGACACGCGAUACGUGAUAAUAUUAUAUCAUGUUAUAUUGAUGGUUAUUAAAUGAUAACAUCCAACGGUGACGGCUCACAAGAAAACCGUCACGUGCAGCCGUUUAACGUGUUUUCUAGCUUACUGCACAACACUGGAGACUAUUAAAAUUAUAUUAUUGUCAACUUCUGCGGGGACACGUCUAUUUUCGUAAAUUAUGUACACGGCUACGACGAUGACGACGACGACGACGACGAUCUGCAACAUUAAAGAAAAUAACGCUGUAUCGUGGCGAUAUUCUUCGCACGAUGCACGUUAAGCUAAUUAAAAAUAAUAAUAAUAUAAUGUAUUAAAUUUUAUAUUUUUAUUCUGUCGGCUAACAGCCCGGGAUUCUAGGCGAUUUAGUUUAAUCGUUUAUUUUUGUGUGCGCGUACGCGUAAUGUAUUUCGUAUUAUGGAUACUUCGUCUUUUUACAAAUAAAAAAAAAAAAAAAAAAAUGAUUACACAAAAUCUCGAUAUCAUAUUUUUGUUUUAAUAUACGGCCGUUUUGCACAAUUGAUAUUAAAAUAUUACAAUGUUAUCAAUUAUACAAUGUUUAAAAUCCGUUUUCUGAAAUAUGUUUUUUUAUUUCAUCUUGUACCUACCUAUUAUUAUAAUGCAAG
Molecule: long non-coding RNA, 2726 nt
Filed under: Cinara cedri
Lineage: Eukaryota; Metazoa; Arthropoda; Insecta; Hemiptera; Aphididae
Source: RNAcentral